RNAcentral lists this ribosomal RNA (513 nucleotides) under uncultured bacterium. Its description in RNAcentral is "partial 16S ribosomal RNA". It matches the Rfam family "Bacterial small subunit ribosomal RNA", at positions 28 to 523 of the family's 1533-position model. The record is from RNAcentral.
GAUGAACGCUGGCGGCGUGCCUAAUACAUGCAAGUCGAACGCACAGCGAAAGGUGCUUGCACCUUUCAAGUGAGUGGCGAACGGGUGAGUAACACGUGGCCAACCUGCCUCAAGGCUGGGGAUAACAUUUGUAAACAGAUGCUAAUACCGAAUAAAACUCAGUGUCGCAUGACACAAAGUUAAAAGGCGCUUUAGCGUCACCUAGAGAUGGAUCCGCGGUGCAUUAGUUCGUUGGUGGGGUAAAGGCCUACCAAGACAAUGAUGCAUAGCCGAGAUGGGAGACUGAUCGGCCUUAUUGGGACUGAGACACGGCGCAAACUCCUACGGAAGGCUGCAGUAGGGAAUCUUAAACAAUGGGCGAAAGCCUGAUGGAGCGAAGCCGCGUGUGUGAUGAAGGCUUACGGGUCGUAAAGCACUGUUGUAUGGGAAGAACAGCGAGAAGAGGGAAUUAUUUUAGUUUGACGGUACCAUACCAGAAAGGGACGGCUAAAUACGUGCCAGCCGCCGCUGUAA